Long non-coding RNA from Capra hircus (goat), 2494 nucleotides. RefSeq lists it as uncharacterized. NCBI's taxonomy places the organism in Eukaryota, Metazoa, Chordata, Mammalia, Artiodactyla, Bovidae. The record is from RefSeq and is a predicted model, not a curated record. The transcript is spliced from 3 exons.
UCUCCUGUACCUGUAGCAUCAACCUGUAGAGAACCAUUCGCCCAACGUGAGGCACAGGUGUGCAAUGGUACAGGGACUACAUCACCAGUCUUCCUGUCUGCCGUGUACCAGGUCCCCAGAGGGCAUUAGGCUCUUGUGUAAUCUAUUUAAAAUAGCUCUUCUUUACUCAGUGUGUGUGCGUGUGUGUGUGUGUGUGUGUGCAUGUAUGCGCACACAUUUAAAUACUGUUAGCAUGUACUCCAUGGAAAUAAUGAAUAAUUGAUUCUUGUAAUAGAUUCGAUUGUCUAGUACUCUGAUACACUGGAAAGUGUCUGAGUGGUACUAGGAACGGUAUUUGGAAACUUAAAAGCCCUUUUCUCUGGGUUUCUCCACACAGAAUCCGAGAAAGAGAAGCUAGUGUCAACCUGCACAAGCUGGGGUGCAGGUAACAAUGCCCUCCGACCCCUGACCGUGAUUACUAUCACUUUAUCACGAUGAGGACUGUCCUGCCGCAUCGCUAAGUCCCGCUUUGAAAAGAAAAGCACGGUGUGUCUUCCGCUCCCAGAACACGCCUCCCCCUCUGCCUCGUCUCUAGCAGAUAAGGGACGUUCUGAUGUUUUAUUUGUUAAAUGGUUGACUAUUAAGAAACUCAUUUGCUAGCUGGAGCCUGCAAUGGAAAAUCAGCCCAGAAAAGUGGGAGGCUGGCAAGCGACCAGAGCAGAUGGGAGAUGGAGGUGAGGGGAGGCCCAUGAGCCCCUUCCAGUCUGGACCUGGGGUCAGGGGCCAGCCCUCGGGGAACCUGCAGGCUGUUCCAAUGUGCUGACGCCUCUCCACACCCUGACCGCCGACCCCUACAACAGCACUGCAAACCAGGACGAAAGGGCCCAUGCACUAAGCGAUGGGAAGAGGAGGGUGUAACCCCCAGCCCCGGCAACUUCUCCGGCCCUCCACUCUGGCUGCCCGACGUCAUCAUCCACUCCUCCGGCCUCUCGGGUCCUGAGACCCUGACCCCGGGCAUGUUCCACGGCUCCAUUAGUUCUGAAGCCACAGCCAGCCCUUCCUGGCAGACGCUCCUGCUCCUCCAGGUCUGCCCCUCCUCCUCGCCUCCUGCCCCAGGAAGACCCCGGUAAUGCCAAGGAUGGGGGUGGCUGGGAGGGAGAAGACAGCAGGGAGACGGGGGUCCUGGUGCUCUCACACCUGAGAACCAAGUCCAGGAAAGGAGGCAAAACUGCUCCGAGAAUUAUAUAAUCACUGCGGCUUCAAGGGAGAGGACUGGGAUCCAGGUUGCCAUAGCGUUUGUGGCGUGUGGCUGGGAAGGCAGCGCGCCCGGCCACGCGCCCUGCUGCCCGCCCCUCCAUCUUCCUCACAGACCUCACAGGGCCUCUGCUCCUACUUUGAAUGUCUGCUCCCUGCAGACGGGAGGGGAGGAGGCGCUGGGGGGUGGGGGGGGCAAAAGGAAGGGGAAAAAGGGCCCAAAAGGAUUUGUCCUACAGAGAAAGGGGGCCCUAGGAACUGCUGAGGAUUAUCGCCACAUGAAUAACAAUCAUGACUACAGGUCACUGCCAUUGUGGGUGACAGCCAGGACGUGGCCACUGGGCGCUCCGCUUCAAGGCUGCCUGGGCUGAGCUGGGAGCCCCGAGGGCAGAAACCUACCCCCCUCCACUCUUCACAGACAUCACCCUUUCUUUUGUGUCACUCCUGCCUUCCUCUGAAUCCGUCCAGGACUCCAUCAGGAGGGGCACAGCGGAACAGGUGAGGGGUGGGACAUGGGGACAGAGCUGCCCUCCUGACCCGAAAGCCACGGCUCACCCUAGAACCCAUGGUCCUUGACACAAUCGUUUGCACUAAAAGAGGCCACAGUCUCCCCACGGCCACCCAAGCUGGAGAUCAGUUUUAGGUUGGACAGAGCCCAGGGAAGCUGCCCUGCGGCCUCUGGCUCCAAAAGGGUAGGGACUCUGCCUGCUAAGGGUGAGGCUGGGGGCCAAAGGAGGGAGGAGGCUGGAAAGGAGAGACACGGAGACAAAAACCACCAGGCUGUCCUCACAGGAGCACCUGAUGUGCCCAGGCAGUAGCAGGACCAACAGCGACAGGGGGAACAACAGGGAGGACAGGCCCACCAUUGUGAUCUCCAGCGACUCAACCCCAAGACAGAAAGCGGCAGGUUGGUGGCCGGCCUGGCCCUGGAGACUGGCCCUCCACGUCUGGGUCUCAUUCUGCAUCAGCAGGACACCAGCCCAGGCCAAGGCACACGGCCAGCUGGGACUUCGCCUGUGAAAAACCAGCUUCUCAUCAAGGCCCCCGGGGAAGUCAGUUUCCUGUGGAUGACCUGCUGACUCCAGAAGAAACCCCACAGACCCCUUCAUCCCCAGCUGCCCACUUCCGAGGGGCUUAAAGGCCACAUGGACACAGGUUCCCACGUGUGUUAGUGUAUUGUGUCACACUAAGUCACUUCAGUCAUGUCUGACUCUUUGUGACCCCAUGGACUGUAGCCCACCAGGCUCCUCUGUCCAUGGGA